UACGAAGGGGGCUAGCGUUGCUCGGAAUCACUGGGCGUAAAGCGCGCGUAGGCGGUUCUUUAAGUCAGGUGUGAAAUCCCGGAGCUCAACUCCGGAACUGCCUUUGAUACUGGGGAUCUUGAGUCCGGAAGAGGUGAGUGGAACUGCGAGUGUAGAGGUGAAAUUCGUAGAUAUUCGCAAGAACACCAGUGGCGAAGGCGGCUCACUGGUCCGGUACUGACGCUGAGGUGCGAAAGCGUGGGGAGCAAACAGG
Molecule: ribosomal RNA, 253 nt
Filed under: uncultured bacterium
Lineage: Bacteria
Description: partial 16S ribosomal RNA
Rfam family: Bacterial small subunit ribosomal RNA
Source: RNAcentral